ACAAUUCAGGCUUGGUCAGAGGGCUCUGGCUGAAAGGGUAAAUUUCUCCUCAAGGGUGACUUUCAGUGUAAUACCUGGGGACAACUGAACUCUCUCCCAAGGGAAGCUCCUGGCGCGCCCGCGUAACCCUUCUGAAAGCCCUUGGCUGGUUUGCAAGUCUUCAAGGCAGUUCUGGAAAUUUCUGCCUUGGUAUCUCAACCACUUGGGAAUAAGCACUGAAACCACGAGUCCUGAAACAUCUUGAUUUGGUGAGAAAUGAACCCUGAUUCUGCGCUGGUGGGGUCCGGUUUCCCUAAAACAUUACAGUUUCUUUAAGACGCUCAACUUGGGAAGGAACCACAAGGCCAAUGAAUCUUUGAAAGAAUUAAGCAAGAGCCCCUAGCAAGACUGCCUCUGACCUGACCAUGUACCCCAAUCCUCUCAUCUAGUCACCUGGCUAUAAACUUGUUCGAAAUCGGGAGCAGAUUUCAGUCACCUUGGGAGAUGAGAUGUUCAGUAGGAAAAAACACCUGGAAUCGGGCAUCUUGAGCAAAGUCAAAAUUUCCAGGUAAAGUCUUUGGAUCAGCACUGGCUUCUCAGAGCUGGCUCUGGCCAGCUCAUCAGCCCCGGCACCACUUAAGCAUCUGACAUCUACACCCAAGCUGCAGGUCCCUGCCCAGAAACAGCUACAAGGAUAGGGGUCCAGGCAGCAAGACUAAAGAGGUCUGGAUUCUGAGUGUGGGAAUAAAGAACAAAGCCAGAGAUUCU
Molecule: long non-coding RNA, 747 nt
Filed under: Rattus norvegicus (Norway rat)
Lineage: Eukaryota; Metazoa; Chordata; Mammalia; Rodentia; Muridae
Description: long non-coding RNA NONRATT030059
Source: RNAcentral